GAAAAUUCAAAAUUUUUGCUUAAAAAUAUAACUUUAUUCAAUCAGGUAUUGUCCGUUUUUGUCGAUGACCUUUUGCCAUCUUUCAGGCAGUGUCAUAGUUCCAUGUACAUAAAACUUUUGAUUUUCGCCAGCAAGAAACUGAAUUAAACAUGAUUUUACAUCAUUAGUGUCAUUAAAAAUUUUACCAUUUAAGGAGUUCUGCAUGGAACGAAAUAAAUGGUAAUCUGAAGGCGCAAG
This 237-nucleotide unclassified non-coding RNA is filed under the name Bombus terrestris (buff-tailed bumblebee). RNAcentral's name for it is "misc RNA ENSBTSG00005034490.1". Lineage: Eukaryota; Metazoa; Arthropoda; Insecta; Hymenoptera; Apidae. The record is from RNAcentral.